CCUACGGGUGGCUGCAGUGGGGAAUUUUGGGCAAUGGGCGCAAGCCUGACCCAGCAACGCCGCGUGAAGGAUGAAAUCCCUCUGGGAUGUAAACUUCGAAAGUCGGGAAAGACAUCGCCAUGGAUAACACCCGUGGUGGAUGACGGUACCCGACGUAAGCCCCGGCUAACUACGUGCCAGCAGCCGCGGUAAUACGUAGGGGGCAAGCGUUGUUCGGAAUAACUGGGCGUAAGGGGCGAUGAGGAGGCAUGAGUGAAAGCCCGGGGCUCAACCCCGGAACUGCUUUCGAAACUGCCAAGCUAGAGUACGGAAGGGGCAACUGGAAUUCCCAGUGUAGCGGUGAAAUGCGUAGAUAUUGGGAAGAACACCGGAGGCGAAGGCGGGUUGCUGGGCCGAUACUGACGCGGAGGCGCGAAAGCCAGGGGAGCAAACGGGAUUAGAUACGUAGUC
Molecule: ribosomal RNA, 450 nt
Filed under: uncultured bacterium
Lineage: Bacteria
Description: partial 16S ribosomal RNA
Rfam family: Bacterial small subunit ribosomal RNA
Source: RNAcentral